GGCCGAGUGGUUAAGGCGAAAGAUUAGAAAUCUUUUGGGCUUUGCCCGCGCAGGUUCGAGUCCUGC
This 66-nucleotide transfer RNA is filed under the name Saccharomyces cerevisiae FostersB. RNAcentral's name for it is "tRNA-Ser (AGA) (tRNA-Ser-AGA-4-1)". It matches the Rfam family "tRNA", at positions 9 to 63 of the family's 71-position model. From Rfam's summary of the family: Transfer RNA (tRNA) molecules are approximately 80 nucleotides in length. Their secondary structure includes four short double-helical elements and three loops (D, anti-codon, and T loops). Further hydrogen bonds mediate the characteristic L-shaped molecular structure. tRNAs have two regions of fundamental functional importance: the anti-codon, which is responsible for specific mRNA codon recognition, and the 3' end, to which the tRNAs corresponding amino acid is attached (by aminoacyl-tRNA synthetases). tRNAs cope with the degeneracy of the genetic code in two manners: having more than one tRNA (with a specific anti-codon) for a particular amino acid; and 'wobble' base-pairing, i.e. permitting non-standard base-pairing at the 3rd anti-codon position. Lineage: Eukaryota; Fungi; Ascomycota; Saccharomycetes; Saccharomycetales; Saccharomycetaceae. The record is from RNAcentral.